GGAAUCUUGCGCAAUGGGCGAAAGCCUGACGCAGCAACGCCGCGUGCGGGAAGAAGGCCUUCGGGUUGUAAACCGCUUUCAGCAGGAAAGAAAAUGACGGUACCUGCAGAAGAAGGUGCGGCCAACUACGUGCCAGCAGCCGCGGUGACACGUAGGCACCAAGCGUUGUCCGGAUUUAUUGGGCGUAAAGAGCUCGUAGGCGGUUCAGUAAGUCGGGUGUGAAAACUUUGGGCCUAACCCAAAGCCUGCACUCGAAACUGCUGUGACUAGAGUUCGGUAGGGGAGCGGGGAAUUCCUGGUGUAGCGGUGAAAUGCGCAGAUAUCAGGAGGAACACCGGUGGCGAAGGCGCCGCUCUGGGCCGACACUGACGCUGAGGAGCGAAAGCGUGGGUAGCAAACAGGAUUAGAUACCCUGGUAGUCCACGCCGUAAACGUUGGGCACUAGGUGUGGGUCUCUCCUAACGAGAUCCGCGCCGUCGCUAACGCAUUAAGUGCCCCGCCUGGGGAGUACGGUCGCAAGACUAAAACUCAAAGGAAUUGACGG
This 544-nucleotide ribosomal RNA is filed under the name uncultured bacterium. RNAcentral describes it as "bacterial SSU rRNA". It matches the Rfam family "Bacterial small subunit ribosomal RNA", at positions 358 to 916 of the family's 1533-position model. The record is from RNAcentral.